Long non-coding RNA from Etheostoma cragini (Arkansas darter), 3741 nucleotides. RefSeq lists it as uncharacterized. The transcript has 4 exons. Lineage: Eukaryota; Metazoa; Chordata; Actinopteri; Perciformes; Percidae. The record is from RefSeq and is a predicted model, not a curated record.
UCUCUCUCUCUCUCUCUCUCUGCUGCGUGCUGUGCUUCGCUCGUCCCCAUCUCUUAUAAAUCGCUUCUCUUUUACGCACUCCCCGCUAAAGCCUGAUCAGAAACGUAAGGACACUACAAUAUUUAAUUCUAGAGUCUCGGCUGGUUAAAGGCUCGUUGUGGCUCAGGUGCUUCAGUUUUAGCAAGGUGCAGGUUUGGAGAUCACUGCUCAGUCGAGGUCUCUCAUCUGCCGGCUUCACUGCCCCCAAAAAUGACUUCCUGCUCGGUGCUAUCGGGACCUCAGUGUGCAGCUCACAGGGGGAGGAUGGAGUGUGCUGGGGAUGAGGAGUGUAGGUAUCUUCCAUGGCACAUGUGUGACCAACACCCUCAGCCACUCUGAUGAUCUUUUACAUGCCUUGGCGUCGAGCUAAAGAUGGUUUCAUGCCUUCUUCCUUCCACCCGAUAGAUCUCGACAUUUGGGGUCUGCUGGAUCUGUCUCCCAAAGGUCCUCAGUGGUGCCUUCCUGCACCCUUUCCUGCACCGACGCGCAGCCACAGAGGCUGCAGCCGUGAGCUGCACGUCACUCACCACGUCUAUCAAAUGCUGAAAAACGAUGUUGGGGAGCAACCAAAGACGGAGACGCGUCCUUCCAAGCGAACAAUGGAUACCAAUUCACAAUGGUCAAUGCAUAAGCGGUGCGUAAUGUGUUUUGGUUUCUGUACACGUCGUCCAUAGCAGCCGGUGUGUGUAGUGUGUGUGUGAUAGGGAGAGAGAGAGGGGAGGGGGGGCAGAGAGAGGAGGGGACCAGCGACGCGACGCAGCAGCUCCGCGCGCACACUGUCAUCCAAGGAGAUGUCUGGAUGCUGGCUGCAGUAUCGCCUCGGCCUCGGGCUGUCUCUGGUCACUGAAGCAAAAAGUAAUGCCAGUGUGUUUUUUAUUUUUAUUUUUUUAAACACUUCUGUGGGUUGGAUCAACUCAUUGUGCAGGUUUAAUCUCAGUGAGUGAAGGCGUGCAACGCGUGGGUUUCUCCCUGGACUUCUGGCUCUUCCACUUCCAGAUGCUGAUGCAAACUCGCGUUAAAAACACUCAAUGGACUUGAACCGGAGAGGCGGAAUUUAUUCAAAGUUUAUGGCUUCAAUCUGUGGAGUGCAGACACAGAAAUUCAUAUCUGCAGGACAUCAGGUCAACGGAGAGACACACCACCUCCUGCUCUAAGGGUCAGAGGUCAGAGGCGGUCAAAACAGGCUUCAUCACUAUAAAGUUACAGUGUACAGCAGGAAGACGAGGAGGAGGAGGCAGUGGAGAAGGAAAAAGAGAAGCAGAGUGGGUGGAUGAUGGAAGGAGAGAAGGAUAGAAGCAGUUCGAGGAGGUGGUUCGAAGCGGGUGAACCCAGAGCAGGUGAACACAGCUGUGGAUCGCCAAGGGCUCUCUGGCUGCCCUCCUUCUGUGGCCUUGGCGCUGCAUACAGGGGUCCCGGGGAGCCAGCAGGGGCCAGCCAAUGCUGCGGCAGAGUGGGCAGGCUAGGCCAACCAAGCCAGGAGAGAGGCAGGUGAAGCGGGUGAGCCAAGCUCUCAUCCCCGGCGGCUAGGAGCCUCCGCGGCAGAGCGGAGCAGCAGAAAUCAAUACAGAGGAGAGAGGCUAGCAGAGGUUGCCCAGCACCGCCUGCAGGCCACGGAGCCCAGGGACCAAACACCACCACUGCUCCCAGCUCUUCUCUCUUUCUAUCUUUCUCCAACAGUCCCAGCACCAGCCAGGGCCAGGGCCCUAACCGCCCCACACGCAGUGUGUUUGUCAGUAGGUGCACAUGUGUGUGUGUGUGUGCAUAGAAAAAUAGAUAGAAACGGCGAGAGGGAAGAGACAGAGAGAAGAGUCUUUGUGUGUGGUCAGCCGGAGGGUUUUUUUCUGCGUCCAAUACCACUUGAUAAAACUUUGUCAGAGAGACACAGAGACAGCGAGGGAGGGAGAGAAACGGAAGAAGAAUAAGACAGGACGUCGAAGGUCGCUUUUCUUCCAGCUCCCUCCCUCUUAUUACUCAUUCCACCUUAACUGUUUGAUAAGGAUCCAUCGGAGACGGUACACAGGACAUUUCGUCUCAGUCCCACUUCCAAGCACGAAGUGCACAAUAUUCCUAAGAUCUCAUGAGUCAGGAUGAAAGGACAAUUUGAACUUUUUGCCUUAGAUUUUCUUACCCUCACUACAGCAGCUCCCAUCAGAGGAUAUGGCAGUGCAGUAUUGAUCUGUAAGGUGGAAGAGAGGAAGGUGGGCCUGGGCUUUUCAUACCUCUCUCUCUCUCUCUCUUUCUCUCUCUCUCUCUCUCUCUCUCUCUCUCUCUCUCUCUCUCUCUCUCUCUCUCUCUCUCUCUCUCUCUCUCUCUCUCUCUGUGUGUGUGGGUGUGGAAAUGGCACCUGAAGUCCACUUACUGCUGUGCAGCAAGGAUCCCAUGGCAGUACAAGCGAAUCGCUGCUAAUUGAAUGAGAGAUGAAAAGGACAGUAGUUGUACCUGCUCAGUGUCCCCCCCCUGUCUAAAACGGUCUCGGUUUUUCAUCUGACUUUUUUCUCCUCCACCUUUACAAAAGUCCUUCUCCACACAAAGAGACUUGCUCUUCAGAUGUUUUUGCAGAAUUGGUGGUGACUAAAGAAAAUUGGCAAAAUCUUCUGGAAGGACAAAAAACCUGGCUUCAGUAGAAUUUCUUCAUGCAGUGGUAGAAACAUCCGGCUGAGAAAAGGUUUUAAGAGGUCAUGCUACAAAAUGUACUGUACUGUAGAUAUUUGUGGACUUGGAAGGACAUUACAGGACAGAUGGACAGUUUUCCAAGCAUGAAAACUUGCACAGGAUUCCUACUUCUUGAUGCUGCCAGUCAGGACUGCCACCAUGAAGAUGGAAAACAACGGUUGGCCAUUGGACCCUACUCUAACAAAGCAUGCACACUGUCUGUAGUCAAUUUCUCCAAAUAUUUAGCGCUUAGCCUCCUCAGCCACUUAUGGAAAAUUUCAUCUCUGCACCUGAAAGAACAGUUAGUUAGACACACAUCAUUAGAGUCUGAUUAUCUAGUAUACCGGGAGUCGUCUAGUCUGCAGUCUUUGUGGAUGUGGACAGGUAAGUUGGAGCCGCUUCUGAAAGGUAAGUUUAAAAGGUUGAAUCAAUUUUACUGCUGUCUGAAGUGUAAAAUGGAGCUGCCGAGCAAUAUUUUCCAAAAUUAGUUUCAUUAGAUAUGAAUUACUAUAUUUGAGAGGAAUUUUAGAUCGGAGAUUGGAUGAGACCCCAAGGGGUCCUUCUUUUUACUCAGUAAUUUACAUUCAAGUAUUUGACUGGAAAAUCGUUUGACAAGAGUGUGUUGCUCUUUUAACUUUCCUCAUUUCUGUGGGACAUUAUGUAUACAGACAUAUUUAUCUAUUCUUUUUCAUAGAAUAAUGAGUUCCUUUAUCAUAAAAUGAUCCCAGAAUCCCAAGUGUUGCCCUGAUAUGAUAUAUAUUCUCAAUAAAGUCAAGCAAUUUGUAAUAUAAGAAUUGGUCUUGGGUUGUUUUUUCCCCCUCUUCUAUUUGAUUCUUGUUUCUAUAUUCAGUAUGUCAGUGAUGUUUUUGUUGCUGCGAUUAUACAGAAGCUGAACUAUACAGUUAAAGGAUACAUUUGGUGAUAUUCUCUAUUUUUCUUAGUGUCAAGAAAUUCCAUGAAAAGACCAAAACCAACAAUUGGCGUCUUCCAACUUCCUGUGUGUUCAAAGCCUAAGAUAUCUGAUUCCUCUGUGCCACAGACGUCCAUUGU